CCUUCAAUAGGAAGGAUACCUACCGGUUAUACCCCGUAGACUGAUAUNCCUAUACAAGAAGCACCGGCUAACUCCGUGCCAGCAGCCGCGGUAAUACGGAGGGUGCAAGCGUUAAUCGGAAUUACUGGGCGUAACGCGUGCGUAGGCGGUUAUUUAAGUCAGAUGUGAAAGCCCCGGGCUUAACCUGGGAACUGCAUUUGAUACUGGGUAACUAGAGUUGAGUAGAGGAGAGUGGAAUUUCAGGCUGUACGCGUUGAAAUGCGUAGAGAUCUGAAGGAACACCAGUUGA
Molecule: ribosomal RNA, 289 nt
Filed under: uncultured bacterium
Lineage: Bacteria
Description: partial 16S ribosomal RNA
Rfam family: Bacterial small subunit ribosomal RNA
Source: RNAcentral